Molecule: ribosomal RNA, 1371 nt
Filed under: bacterium NLAE-zl-P302
Lineage: Bacteria
Description: 16S ribosomal RNA
Rfam family: Bacterial small subunit ribosomal RNA
Source: RNAcentral
AGUCGAGGGGCAGCAUGGUCUUAGCUUGCUAAGGCCGAUGGCGACCGGCGCACGGGUGAGUAACACGUAUCCAACCUGCCGUCUACUCUUGGACAGCCUUCUGAAAGGAAGAUUAAUACAAGAUGGCAUCAUGAGUCCACAUGUUCACAUGAUUAAAGGUAUUCCGGUAGACGAUGGGGAUGCGUUCCAUUAGAUAGUAGGCGGGGUAACGGCCCACCUAGUCUUCGAUGGAUAGGGGUUCUGAGAGGAAGGUCCCCCACAUUGGAACUGAGACACGGUCCAAACUCCUACGGGAGGCAGCAGUGAGGAAUAUUGGUCAAUGGGCGAGAGCCUGAACCAGCCAAGUAGCGUGAAGGAUGACUGCCCUAUGGGUUGUAAACUUCUUUUAUAAAGGAAUAAAGUCGGGUAUGCAUACCCGUUUGCAUGUACUUUAUGAAUAAGGAUCGGCUAACUCCGUGCCAGCAGCCGCGGUAAUACGGAGGAUCCGAGCGUUAUCCGGAUUUAUUGGGUUUAAAGGGAGCGUAGAUGGAUGUUUAAGUCAGUUGUGAAAGUUUGCGGCUCAACCGUAAAAUUGCAGUUGAUACUGGAUAUCUUGAGUGCAGUUGAGGCAGGCGGAAAUUCGUGGUGUAGCGGUGAAAUGCUUAGAUAUCACGAAGAACUCCGAUUGCGAAGGCAGCCUGCUAAGCUGCAACUGACAUUGAGGCUCGAAAGUGUGGGUAUCAAACAGGAUUAGAUACCCUGGUAGUCCACACGGUAAACGAUGAAUACUCGCUGGUUGCGAUAUACAGCAAGCCGGCCAAGCGAAAGCGUUAAGUAUUCCACCUGGGGAGUACGCCGGCAACGGUGAAACUCAAAGGAAUUGACGGGGGCCCCGCACAAGCCGAGGAACAUGUGGUUUAAUUCGAUGAUACGCGAGGAACCUUACCCGGGCUUAAAUUGCAGAUGAAUUACGGUGAAAGCCGUAAGCCGCAAGGCAUCUGUGAAGGUGCUGCAUGGUUGUCGUCAGCUCGUGCCGUGAGGUGUCGGCUUAAGUGCCAUAACGAGCGCAACCCUUGUUGUCAGUUACUAACAGGUUCCGCUGAGGACUNUGACAAGACUGCCAUNGUAAGAUGUGAGGAAGGUGGGGAUGACGUCAAAUCAGCACGGCCCUUACGUCCGGGGCUACACACGUGUUACAAUGGGGGGGUACAGAGGGCCGCUACCACGCGAGUGGAUGCCAAUCCCAAAAACCUCUCUCAGUUCGGACUGGAGUCUGCAACCCGACUCCACGAAGCUGGAUUCGCUAGUAAUCGCGCAUCAGCCACGGCGCGGUGAAUACGUUCCCGGGCCUUGUACACACCGCCCGUCAAGCCAUGGGAGCCGGGGGUACCC